CGCGUGAGCAACGUGCCCGUAUGUGGGGGAUAGUCAUUGGAAACGAUGCGUAAUACCCCGUAACACAUUUGACCGCAUGGUCAAAUGUUGAAAGAUUGAUUGCAUACGGAUCGGCUCGCGUGCCAUUAGGUAGACGGCGGGGUAACGGCCCACCGUGCCGACGAUGGCUAGGGGUUCUGAGAGGAAGGUCCCCCACAUUGGAACUGAGACACGGUCCAGACUCCUACGGGAGGCAGCAGUGAGGAAUAUUGGACAAUGGCCGGAAGGCUGAUCCAGCCAUGCCGCGUGCGGGAAGACGGCCCUAUGGGUUGUAAACCGCUUUUGCGAGGGAGCAAUAAGGUCCACGUGUGGGCCGAUGAGAGUACCUUGCGAAUAAGCAUCGGCUAACUCCGUGCCAGCAGCCGCGGUAAUACGGAGGAUGCGAGCGUUAUCCGGAUUUAUUGGGUUUAAAGGGUGCGCAGGCGGCUUGUUAAGCGGGAGGUGAAAUGCCGGCGCUCAACGUCGGAAGUGCCUCCCGAACUGGUGAGCUUGAAUGACUCUGCCGUGGGAGGAAUGUGUAGUGUAGCGGUGAAAUGCUUAGAGAUUACACAGAACACCGAUUGCGAAGGCAUCUCACGAAGGGUUGAUUGACGCUGA
Molecule: ribosomal RNA, 636 nt
Filed under: uncultured rumen bacterium
Lineage: Bacteria
Description: bacterial SSU rRNA
Rfam family: Bacterial small subunit ribosomal RNA
Source: RNAcentral